RNAcentral lists this long non-coding RNA (570 nucleotides) under Androctonus crassicauda. The record is from RNAcentral. Lineage: Eukaryota; Metazoa; Arthropoda; Arachnida; Scorpiones; Buthidae.
UAGAGUAUACAAUAUUAUUUUCUAUUAGAGUAUCAUUUAGAUGUACUCUCGUGCUGUUACUUGCACGGUAAACUCUACUAGAGUAUAUUGGUGUUGUGUUGUGCAUUCUGAACUGCUGAAUAUUUGUAUAUUGGACAAUUUAUUUGGAUAUAUAAACAAUUUAUUUGGAUAUAUUUGAUUAUACAUCAAUUUAAAUGCAAGGACUCCAUUUUAUGCAACUUCAUUCUACAUCAGAAGCCCGCUGAAUGUUCUGGAAAAAAUGAAGUUAUUGUGUUUGAUGAAGAAAUUAGGAGGCUCUCCUAUUACAGUUACUUGUAUGGGUUUCUUUGCUGUUAACAAAAUUUUCAUCUGCAGGGCUUACAAGGCUCUCUUCUCUACCUUCACCACAAUGCUAGAAAUCCAGAAUUCUGAUGAGGGGAUUUCUGGAUUUUUCUGUCUUAAUGACACAACGAACAUAUGGAAAGAGUUCAUUUAAAUGAUGAAUACAUAAAAUAAAUGCUGAUGAAUUAUAAUUAUUAAUCAAUAUAUUUUCAUAUAUAUUGUAUAUGUGAUAUUUCGACAGAGUGAGCA